GCAUAACACACUACCCAAGAGUAAUGAUAGUAAGGGGAAUAGAAAAAGCAAGUGAACAUGUAGUGUUGAGUGUUAGUUAGUGGCGGACGGGUGAGUAACGCGUGAGCAACCUACCCAUAAGAGGGGGAUACCAGUUGGAAACGACUGCUAAUACCGCAUAAGCUAACCUUUAUGAUGUAGAGAUUAGUAAAGAUGGCCUCUGAAUAUGCUAUCACUUAUGGAUGGGCUCGCGUCUGAUUAGCUAGUUGGUGGGGUAACGGCCUACCAAGGCGACGAUCAGUAGCCGGCCUGAGAGGGUGAACGGCCACACUGGGACUGAGACACGGCCCAGACUCCUACGGGAGGCAGCAGUGGGGAAUAUUGCGCAAUGGGGGAAACCCUGACGCAGCGACGCCGCGUGAGCGAAGAAGGCCUUAGGGUUGUAAAGCUCUGUUUUCAGGAAAGAAUGUCGCGGGUAGUAAUAUGAUCUGCGAAUGACGGUACCUGAAGAGGAAGCCCCGGCUAACUACGUGCCAGCAGCCGCGGUAAGACGUAGGGGGCGAGCGUUGUCCGGAAUUACUGGGCGUAAAGAGCACGUAGGCGGGACAUUAAGUCAGGUGUGAAAGACCGAGGCUCAACCUCGGGGUUGCACUUGAAACUGGCGUUCUUGAGGGCAGGAGAGGAAAGCAGAAUUCCUGGUGUAGCGGUGAAAUGCGUAGAAAUCAGGAGGAAUACCAGUGGCGAAGGCGGCUUUCUGGACUGACCCUGACGCUGAGGUGCGAAAGCGUGGGUAGCAAACAGGAUUAGAUACCCUGGUAGUCCACGCUGUAAACGAUGGAUACUAGGUGUGGGAGGUAUCGACCCCUUCCGUGCCGCAGCUAACGCAAUAAGUAUCCCGCCUGGGGA
RNAcentral lists this ribosomal RNA (885 nucleotides) under uncultured bacterium. Its description in RNAcentral is "bacterial SSU rRNA". It matches the Rfam family "Bacterial small subunit ribosomal RNA", at positions 1 to 879 of the family's 1533-position model. The record is from RNAcentral.